UACGUAGGGGGCAAGCGUUGUCCGGAAUCAUUGGGCGUAAAGCGCGUGUAGGCGGCUGAGUAAGUCUGCUCUGAAAGCCCGGGGCUCAACCCCGGGAGGCGGGUGGAUACUGCUCAGCUCGAGUCCGGAAGAGGAGUGUGGAAUUCCUGGUGUAGCGGUGAAAUGCGCAGAUAUCAGGAGGAACACCAAUGGCGAAGGCAGCACUCUGGGACGGUACUGACGCUGAGACGCGAAAGCGUGGGGAGCAAACAGG
This 253-nucleotide non-coding RNA is filed under the name uncultured bacterium. RNAcentral's name for it is "partial 16S ribosomal RNA". It matches the Rfam family "Bacterial small subunit ribosomal RNA", at positions 524 to 776 of the family's 1533-position model. RNAcentral also lists the same sequence under 1 other name. The record is from RNAcentral.